RNAcentral lists this ribosomal RNA (270 nucleotides) under uncultured Lachnospiraceae bacterium. RNAcentral's name for it is "partial 16S ribosomal RNA". It matches the Rfam family "Bacterial small subunit ribosomal RNA", at positions 59 to 339 of the family's 1533-position model. The record is from RNAcentral. Lineage: Bacteria; Bacillati; Bacillota; Clostridia; Lachnospirales; Lachnospiraceae.
AUGAAGCCUAGCGAUUGUAAAUUUAGUGGCGGACGGGUGAGUAACGCGUGGGUAACCUGCCUUGUACUGGGGGACAACAGUUGGAAACGACUGCUAAUACCGCAUAAGCGCACGGUGUCGCAUGACACAGUGUGAAAACACUCCGGUGGUAUGAGAUGGACCCGCGUCUGAUUAGCUAGUUGGUGAGGUAACGGCCUACCAAAGCGACGAUCAGUAGCCGGCCUGAGAGGGUGAACGGCCACAUUGGGACUGAGAUACGGCCCAGACUCC